RNAcentral lists this ribosomal RNA (250 nucleotides) under uncultured bacterium. Its description in RNAcentral is "partial 16S ribosomal RNA". It matches the Rfam family "Bacterial small subunit ribosomal RNA", at positions 524 to 773 of the family's 1533-position model. The record is from RNAcentral.
UACGUAGGGUGCAAGCGUUGUUCGGAAUCAUUGGGCGUAAAGCGCGUGUAGGCGGUUUGUUAAGUCGAUUGUGAAAUCCCUGGGCUCAACCGAGGAAGUGCAGUCGAAACUAACAAGCUAGAAGAAGGUAGAGAAAGGUGGAAUUCCAAGUGUAGAGGUGAAAUUCGUAGAUAUUUGGAGGAAUACCGGUGGCGAAGGCGGCCUUUUGGGCCUUUCUUGACGCUGAGACGCGAAAGCGUGGGUAGCAAAC